GACGAACGCUGGCGGCGUGCUUAACACAUGCAAGUCGAACGGAAAGGCCCUGCUUUUGUGGGGUGCUCGAGUGGCGAACGGGUGAGUAACACGUGAGUAACCUGCCCUUGACUUUGGGAUAACUUCAGGAAACUGGGGCUAAUACCGGAUAGGAGCUCCUGCUGCAUGGUGGGGGUUGGAAAGUUUCGGCGGUUGGGGAUGGACUCGCGGCUUAUCAGCUUGUUGGUGGGGUAGUGGCUUACCAAGGCUUUGACGGGUAGCCGGCCUGAGAGGGUGACCGGCCACAUGGGGCUUGGGGAGGCACCAGGGUGGAAUCGGGGGGAAUGGGGGGGAAAUUUUGCAAAAGGGGCGGAGCGUGGGAAGAACGCCCCCGGGGGGGGGAGCACGGCUUGGGGGUUGGAACCGCAUUUCGCUUGUACCGAGCUGUUAUGAAGGGAAAUGGAGAAAAAGCCCCGGCUAAACUAGUG
This 467-nucleotide ribosomal RNA is filed under the name uncultured bacterium. Its description in RNAcentral is "partial 16S ribosomal RNA". It matches the Rfam family "Bacterial small subunit ribosomal RNA", at positions 28 to 507 of the family's 1533-position model. The record is from RNAcentral.